UUGGCUUCUUGGUUCUAGAUUUUCCACACUUCAAAUCACCAAAAAGGGAUCAAAACUGUAAAAAAAAAAAAAAAAUCGAAAUCAUCUGAUAUGUUUCAUUAUCAGGAAAAAAGCAAAACAAUGAUAUUAUAUCAGAAAUCAGAAAAUGACUUUAUGAUUUUCGACGCUACAAAUCAGAAUUUACCUUAAUUCCUUGUUCCUUUUGAGUUAUGAUUUACGAAAACUCAUAUCAUUGUUCCUCCGAUUUACUGAUUACUAAUUUGGAAGUAGUAGAAAAAGAAAAAAGAAAAACUGAUCAGAAAUUUGCAGCUUCUGAAAAAAGAAAAAUUGAGGACAAAACUAAAGUUGAAUGUUACCUUCUGAUUUUGAAACUUCAAGCAGGUAACAAAUCUGAGGCUUCUAAAAUCGUUGGUAAGCUUUGUUAGAACUGAAAUCGUUGGUAAGCUUCAUAGUUUUGAGAAGAAAGAAAAAGAAGUAAGAUUGUUGAUCGCUUGUGUCUUUGAUAUUGGAAUGGAAUCGACUUAUGCUUCCUGUCACCCAUGUGUGCGUUAUUAGUGAUGAAGAAACCAGAAACCAAAGAGUUUUUUUGUUUUCCCAAAAAUUAUCCUGCUCCCUCCUUGCUGCAUC
RNAcentral lists this long non-coding RNA (627 nucleotides) under Lactuca sativa (garden lettuce). RNAcentral describes it as "long non-coding RNA (LSAT_LNC007620)". Lineage: Eukaryota; Viridiplantae; Streptophyta; Magnoliopsida; Asterales; Asteraceae. The record is from RNAcentral.